Molecule: transfer RNA, 73 nt
Filed under: Ailuropoda melanoleuca (giant panda)
Lineage: Eukaryota; Metazoa; Chordata; Mammalia; Carnivora; Ursidae
Rfam family: tRNA
About the family: Transfer RNA (tRNA) molecules are approximately 80 nucleotides in length. Their secondary structure includes four short double-helical elements and three loops (D, anti-codon, and T loops).
Source: Rfam by way of RNAcentral
GCCUGGCUGGCUCAGUUGGUAGAGCAUAUGACUCUUAAUCUCAGGGUUGUGAGUUCAAGCCCCAUGUUGGGUG